GUUUCAAUUCCUCAUAGGCAGGCUAUCGGCUAUUCUGACAUUUGUCUUCGGGAAUUGCCAUUCCCGG
This 67-nucleotide small RNA is filed under the name Acididesulfobacillus acetoxydans. RNAcentral's name for it is "Peptococcaceae bacterium INE non-coding RNA". Lineage: Bacteria; Bacillati; Bacillota; Clostridia; Eubacteriales; Peptococcaceae. The record is from RNAcentral.